AUACGGAGGGUGCAAGCGUUACUCGGAAUCACUGGGCGUAAAGCGCGCGUAGGUGGCUAUGUCAGUCGGAUGUGAAAGCCCUGGGCUUAACCUGGGAAUUGCAUUCGAUACUGCAUGGCUAGAGUAUAGUAGAGGGUAGUGGAAUUCCAGGUGUAGCGGUGAAAUGCGUAGAUAUCUGGAGGAACAUCAGUGGCGAAGGCGGCUACCUGGACUAAUACUGACACUGAGGUGCGAAAGCGUGGGGAGCAAACAGGAUUAGAUACCCCGGUAGUCC
Molecule: ribosomal RNA, 274 nt
Filed under: uncultured bacterium
Lineage: Bacteria
Description: partial 16S ribosomal RNA
Rfam family: Bacterial small subunit ribosomal RNA
Source: RNAcentral